RNAcentral lists this transfer RNA (73 nucleotides) under Salmo salar (Atlantic salmon). It matches the Rfam family "tRNA". Rfam says of the family: Transfer RNA (tRNA) molecules are approximately 80 nucleotides in length. Their secondary structure includes four short double-helical elements and three loops (D, anti-codon, and T loops). Further hydrogen bonds mediate the characteristic L-shaped molecular structure. tRNAs have two regions of fundamental functional importance: the anti-codon, which is responsible for specific mRNA codon recognition, and the 3' end, to which the tRNAs corresponding amino acid is attached (by aminoacyl-tRNA synthetases). tRNAs cope with the degeneracy of the genetic code in two manners: having more than one tRNA (with a specific anti-codon) for a particular amino acid; and 'wobble' base-pairing, i.e. permitting non-standard base-pairing at the 3rd anti-codon position. The record is from Rfam by way of RNAcentral. Lineage: Eukaryota; Metazoa; Chordata; Actinopteri; Salmoniformes; Salmonidae.
CUUUCUGUGGCUCAGUUGAUAGAGCGUGGUGUGUGCAACGCCAGGGUUGUGGGUUCGAUUCCCACAGGAGGGG